This 66-nucleotide transfer RNA is filed under the name Benthomangelia sp. JEU-2016. RNAcentral describes it as "tRNA-Asp". The record is from RNAcentral. Lineage: Eukaryota; Metazoa; Mollusca; Gastropoda; Neogastropoda; Conidae.
UAGAAAUUAGUUAAAAUAUAACAUAAGACUGUCAGCCUUAAAUUACUAAUAUAUUAGUAUUUCUAA